This 746-nucleotide ribosomal RNA is filed under the name uncultured bacterium. RNAcentral's name for it is "bacterial SSU rRNA". It matches the Rfam family "Bacterial small subunit ribosomal RNA", at positions 8 to 796 of the family's 1533-position model. The record is from RNAcentral.
AGAGUUUGAUCAUGGCUCAGAACGAACGCUGGCGGCAGGCUUAACACAUGCAAGUCGAACGGGCCCUUUCGGGGGUCAGUGGCAGACGGGUGAGUAACACGUGGGAACGUACCUUUCGGUUCGGGAUAACCCAGGGAAACUUGGGCUAAUACCGGAUACGUCCUUAGGGAGAAAGAUUGAUUUGCCGAGAGGUCGGCCCGCGUCUGAUUAGCUAGUUGGUGGGGUAAAGGCUCACCAAGGCGACGAUCAGUAGCUGGUCUGAGAGGAUGAUCAGCCACACUGGGACUGAGACACGGCCCAGACUCCUACGGGAGGCAGCAGUGGGGAAUAUUGGACAAUGGGCGCAAGCCUGAUCCCAGCCAUGCCGCGUGAGUGAUGAAGGCCUUAGGGUUGUAAAGCUCUUUCGGCGGGGACGAUAAUGACGGUACCCGCAGAAGAAGCCCCGGCUAACUUCGUGCCAGCAGCCGCGGUAAUACGAAGGGGGCUAGCGUUGUUCGGAAUCACUGGGCGUAAAGGGCGCGUAGGCGGCUUUAUAAGUCGGGGGUGAAAGCCUGUGGCUCAACCACAGAAUUGCCUUCGAUACUGUAUGGCUUGAGACCGGAAGAGGUCAGUGGAACUGCGAGUGUAGAGGUGAAAUUCGUAGAUAUUCGCAAGAACACCAGUGGCGAAGGCGGCUGACUGGUCCGGUUCUGACGCUGAGGCGCGAAAGCGUGGGGAGCAAACAGGAUUAGAUACCCUAGUAGUCC